UGCCAGCCGCCGCGGUAAUACGGAGCGUGCAAGCGUUGUUCGGAAUUAUUGGGCGUAAAGCGCGUGUAGGCGGUUCGUUAAGUCUGAUGUGAAAGCCCGGGGCUCAACCCCGGAAGUGCAUUGGAAACUGGCGAACUUGAGUACGGGAGAGGAAAGUGGAAUUCCGAGUGUAGGGGUGAAAUCCGUAGAUAUUCGGAGGAACACCAGUGGCGAAGGCGGCUUUCUGGACCGAUACGGACGCUGCGACGCAACAGCGGGGGGAUCAAACAUGCGUAGAUA
RNAcentral lists this ribosomal RNA (279 nucleotides) under uncultured bacterium. Its description in RNAcentral is "partial 16S ribosomal RNA". It matches the Rfam family "Bacterial small subunit ribosomal RNA", at positions 506 to 784 of the family's 1533-position model. The record is from RNAcentral.